This 253-nucleotide ribosomal RNA is filed under the name uncultured bacterium. Its description in RNAcentral is "partial 16S ribosomal RNA". It matches the Rfam family "Bacterial small subunit ribosomal RNA", at positions 524 to 776 of the family's 1533-position model. The record is from RNAcentral.
UACAGAGGUGGCAAGCGUUGUUCGGAAUUACUGGGCGUAAAGGGCGCGUAGGCGGCCCGUCAAGUCCCGUGUGAAAGCCCCCGGCUCAACCGGGGAACUGCACGGGAAACUAGCAGGCUUGAGUUCGGGAGAGGGAAGCGGAAUUUCGGGUGUAGCGGUGAAAUGCGCAGAUAUCCGAAGGAACACCGGUGGCGAAGGCGGCUUCCUGGACCGACACUGACGCUGAGGCGCGAAAGCCAGGGGAGCAAACGGG